Molecule: small RNA, 6531 nt
Filed under: Olea europaea subsp. europaea
Lineage: Eukaryota; Viridiplantae; Streptophyta; Magnoliopsida; Lamiales; Oleaceae
Source: RNAcentral
AAUUGCACAUAACGUAAUAGUAUAAUUAAUUUAUCAAUAUUUUAAAAUAUUUUAAAUUUUUCCACUCACUUAAUUAUGUACGCAAAAUCCGUUUGGUUGGUCGGCUAUCCCGAUAUUCAUAUUGCCGCCUGAAAUAUGAUAUAAUAUUUAGAGUAACAAUUAACUAUUUUAAGAAAUUAUGAUAAUUAGAUAGGCGAUAUCGAAACUUAAUCUUUUCAUAGUUCAGCAAUUUCUAAAGUUCCUUUAAUCACUUAAUUUAAUUUUUCUUUCAUCUAACUUAAUUACAUCGUGCUUAAUACUUAAUUCAAUAAUUUUCUUUCAAUAAAAUUGAAUUUAAACAAAUAAUUCGACAACCCUAAAAUUUAACAUAACAUUUCAGUACGUAACUUUUCACUUCCUUUGAAAUUGAAGAAUUCAAACUUAAUAGUAAAAAGCAUUUAUUUUCUAACAACGUUGGCAAAUUUUCCUAUUUUUUUCUUCUUCCUCUUUUAUUUUUCUCUUUCUUUCCUCUCUAUAUCUCGACUUGUUUUUGUAUGUUUGCGUGUUUUUUGCAUGUAAAUGAAUUGAUUUGGAAUGAGUUAAUAUAUAUCUAAUGCACCGCCUGCCCUUUCUUUGCUAUAAUAUUUUUUUUUUCUUGUAUCUAGAUUGACCUUUUUUACUUUAGUUUUAUGUUUUGACCUUUUUUUAAUUAAUUAAUGUAUUACAUAUACUGGUUAAUCUCCAAUUCAACACCUCAUUCACUUUCAUGUUUAUCAUCAGGCUUGCAUGGGGCUCAUAAUGUGCACGAAGAACACUAUGUCUCAUAAUAUAAACAAGCAACAUACUCUAUCAUGUCCACUUGAUUCUAUAAAACCAGCUCUCUAACAUCCAUUAUGUCUAUUGUAUAUAGAUUGAUGCAGAAAAUAAAUCAACUAAAUAAGUCUACGUUUGCCCACCCCAAGUAUACCUAUUAAGUACAAUGAUCAUAUUGUUAACUCAUUAUCCAUAUAACUCACCAAACAAAAUGAUGUUUUAGAAAGUAAGAAUCGACACCUUGCAAAAAACAUGUCGAAGUAUGCCAUAUGUAAAGAAUGUGCCAGGAAGGUUUUGGGCUGAGUGUAUGAGGACAGCAGCACAUGUGACCAACAAGCUACCACAAUUAAAGUUGGGGUUCGUUUCAGCAUUUGUAAAACUGUGGAAAUGAAGCCAAUGGUAAGUCACGUUCGUGUUUUUGGAUGUGUCUGUUAUGUUCCUAUGCCUGAUUACUUAAAGAGUAUAUUUGAUAAGAUGACAAUCAUGUGUAUAUUUAUGGGAUAUAACAAUUAAAUUAAAUGGUGGAGAUGUUGCGACCAUACAACUAAUAAUUGUUACACGCCAAGGAAUGUGGUGUUUAACGAUACAUCUUCAUGGUGGACACCGUGGAGAGUGGAGUUACUAGAUUCAAAGGAAAUAGACGACAAAUUGCAAGAGGAAAUCACAGAAGCACUACAAAGUCCUGAAGAAACAAAAGGAUGCACAAGAAUUAAGUGAUGAUAAAUAGUAUACUAGCACAAUACAAAGUCUUUGGCAGAUGGGUGUACAUCAGACAAUACUAGAGGAUAUACAACCAAGUUGAUAAGAAGAGGUUGAGGUACGGACAAACCCAAAACCAUAGUUGAGAAAAUCAACUAGACAAAGAAAACCAAAUCCCAAGUAUGCUAACACGACAGUAGAAGAAGAUAAUAGUGCCAAAGACCCAGAGACCUUUGAAGAAACUAUCCAACACAUAGAGUAAAGAAAAGCAACGGAAGAAGAGUUUGUGGCUCUAAAGCAAAAUGGGACUUGGAAUUUGAUGCCAAGGCCUAAUGGAGUAAAGCCUAUAUCCUACAAGUGGGUAUUCAAAGUAAAUAAAUGCCUAGAUGGAUCGAUUGAAAGAUAAAAAAACUCGACUAGUAGCUCGUGAAUUUUUUCAACAAUAUGGUCUAGACUGUGACAAGACGUUUAGUCUAGUGGCAAAGAUCACAACAGUAAGAGUACUUAUAGCUUUAGCAACAAGCAAAUCUUGGAAGUUAUGAUAGAUGUGAAAAAUGCAUUUCUUCAUGGAUAAUUUGAUCGAGACAUAUACAUGGAGAAACCAAAGGUAUUCAAGAAUAAUGCUACCAAGCUAAAGAAAACUCUUUGUGGGUUAAAGCACGUGCCAAGAGCCUGGUACAGAAAGACAGCAAAAUUUUUAGUUCAAAGUGGAUACUCGGUAGCAACAACAGCCUCGAGCUUAUUCAUCAAAGUACAAAAUAGAAAACUAACAAUAGUGCUAGUGUACGUGGAUGAUCUUAUCAUCAUUGGAGAUAAUAAAAAUCAAAUGAAAGAGUUGGGAAAAUUAAAUUAUUUUUUGGGACUCGAGAUGGAAAGGACAAAAGAAGGGUUAUUCUUGUUCCAACAUCAAAAUGCUAGAGAUCUCUUACUGAAGUUUGGUAUGAUCGAUAGCAAACCAAUAUCAACACCAAUCGAGAUUAACUCCAGGCUAUGUGCAGAUGAAGGCAAGGAUCUGAAGAAUGCAACCAUGUAUCGACAGCUGGUAAGGAGCCUAAUCUACUUGAUACUAACACAACCUAAUAUCAUAUACAUAAUAGGGAUAGCAAGCCGCUUUAUGGAAAAGCUAAUGAAGUUGCACCCUGAAGUAGUGCGAUGAAUUUUAAGGUACGUAAAAAGAACAAUUAAUUAUGGACUAUUUUAUAAGAAAAAUAAAGAUUGCAAGGUUGUUGGCUGUUGUGAUGUGGACUAUGCUGGAUGUCACGAUACACGAAGAUCGACAAUUGGGUGUGUGUUUAGUCUUGGAUUUGUUGUAGUGUCAUGGUGCAAUAAGAGACAACCAGCCGUGUCUUUGUCAACUUCAGAGGCUAAGUAUAGAGUAACAGCAAUGGCAACUCAAGAAAGUACAUGGCUAAUACAAUUGAUGAAGAAUCUACAUCAACCAAUAAGCUAUGCAAUGGAAUUCUAUUGCGAUAAUCAAUCAGCUAUUCAUAUAGCAAAAAAUCUAGUGUGCUAUAAAAGAACUAAGCACGUCGAAGUGCACUAUCAUUUCGUUAGAGAAAAUGUGCUUAAAGGAGAUAUAGACUUGAAACAUGUUAACACUGAAGAAAAAGUUGUAGACGUGUUAACGAAAGGAUUUAGUACUUCAAAAAUUUGUAGAAUUUUUUAACACAAUAGGGUAUUAUAAAAAGAAAAUACUUAAAAUGAAAAGUUAUGUUGAAAGGGAUAAUUGAAUAUCACCACCAACAUAGAAAAAUUUUCAGAAUUUUGUGGACUUAUCCAUCUCAUAUUUUACAGACCAUUCUUGAUGCUUCUUCUGGAAGAAGGUCAGGAAUUUUCUAGAACAUGCUAAAUGAUGAUGUUGCGGAAGCUCUCUCAAAAGGAUCUUCAAACGGUGAUUUUCCAAGCUCAGUCCAAUGUACCUUUUUCAACCAACAACCAGUCUAAUAGGCACCAAACCACAACCAAUUGAUUCAUCUUGGUUGCUAUGCAAUCUUACCCACGUAGGACAAAAAAGAAUGAUGAUUUAUGGCCACAAAGACUAAGAGAAGAUACCACAAAGGUAUAUUAUGAAUGAACCACCAAUUGCACACAUUAUACAAGCGUUCUGGACAUUUAUGGACACCUUUUUCUCACACAAAGGGGGGCAGCCGGUAUUCACUAUUUCUUCUCUUAAAAUCACACAAAACAUCAUAUGAAAGUGGCUAGGGUUAUAGCCAAAUAUAUACUGUAGGAUUAGGCUUUAAGUUAGGCCAUUAAAGGGGUAAAUGGACCAAGAUUCAAGUCAUCCAUAAGAAAUACAAUUGGGCAGGGUGUAGCUCAUGGACUUGGUUGUUGGACUUAUUUCAUUCAUCGGCCUAUGCCUAUGAAAUAAUAUUAACCCACGUUAACAUCAUAGCCCGAGAUUUAUUGGGUAUCAAAAAUCCAACAGAUGAUCUCCAUUAUCAUGAAUGGAAUUAUCUAGAAUCACUGCACUAACAUAGUAAAAAUUGUAGGAGCCGCGACAUUGUCAUCUAUAUAUGUACAUCUUGUUGUAUUGUAUUGUGUGAAAGUAAGUGUAUGAAAAGUGAAGAGAGUGGUGAGCAAAGAGAGAAAUAGGUAGAUAUAGAUACAACAGUGUGUGUGUGUUUUGUUGGAGAGAGAAAGUGAUUAGUUGUGGUGAGCAAACGAGUGAGUAAGGAAAGUUAAUGGGAUGAUAUAAUUAAAUAGUGAAGUGCUUGCUUGAGUAGAAUUUAGUAUGGUGUGGUAAAAUGUGUUUGUCACAAAAUUAAUUGUAUAAGUUUCUUUAAACUCAGCAAGGAAAACUAAGAAAAAGAAGAUUCACCAAUUUACCUUGUUUUUUGAAGGCACCCCAUUCCUAGGAAAUAUCACGUCACUCCCUUUAGAAAUGAAAAGAAAUAAUACAAGAAGCGGGGGAUUUAAAGAGAAAACAUCAUAUUUUAUUUUAAAUGUAUUUUCAAAAAUGUGCAUGCAUUGUUACUAACAUGCUUAAAGACUAUACCUAAAAACCAAUGCUCUUAUAGGAUGGUCAGUGUGACGGUUGGAGCUCCACCUGUAACUUCUCUCAACUGUAGCUCAGGAAUGAAGUGAAAUCAGCUGGGUUAGCUGCUAUUUCCACAAAGUAAAGACAAAUUAGAAUGGGGAAGGGAAUAAAUGAAAAAAAUAAGAAUAAAGGGGAGAGAAAUUAUGUUGAAAGUUUCAACAAAUUUUAUUGAAAGGUCUAUAAUUUGGAAACUGAAAAAACAAAGCCAUACAUAUCAGCCUAUAUCUAAAUCUUCCAAUUGUUGAGAAAAAAAUGUUUACCAUUACAAAAGCAAUACGUUUCUUUAACUAAAUUUAAAAUUUAUCCCAAUCCCGAAACGGCGUUGCCCACUUAAAAUUCUGGUAAUUCAGUUGAUCGACCUCUUCCUUCUUCCUCUGGCUUUUUGAUCUGAUUCUCUUUCUCCCCUAUUGAUUCUCCAUGUGACAGUCAGUGACCAACACAUGAUCAUUGGUAACCACUUCAGCACCUUAUGCAAUUACCGAUCUUCCGAAAGAAACUCCAUGAAUUGAACCUCGUUGCUUGUAUAUAAGUAACUACGUGUCAUUUCUUUCCUUUAUCAACAUAAAUUUUAAAUAUAACAUUUGAAGUCAAGGCAUGAAGCUAUUAGCCCAACUCCGAGAUUGAACAAAGAACUUACCAUCAACACAAACCAUUUAACUUAUUCAUUCAACUAACACAUUCCUAGUUACUAUGCAAGUAGAUUAUCCUACAGUUAUUGGUGUCCUAUUGGAAAAUUAAAUCAGCAAUAUUUUAGAUAUGCAUCCAUUUUUAUCCCACCAAAAUAAAAAUUAUUAUUGAACUUAUCAAUGGAAGAAAACGAUGGAGGUAAAUAGAAGAUAAACAUUCUAAUUUAUUAAUAAUUACAUAUUGCAAAAUAGAAGACAAAUAUCUAUGAAUAUCACAAUAUAUAGAGCUAUCGCAAAAUCGAAGAUAUAUUACAAACUUGGAUUGUGACUGCCCACCGCAACCAGCAUCACUAUCGCCACAGAAAAGCUUCCCCUACCCCUACUGUAGCCAAGUCCACAAAAUCACCAUCUGUUAACCUACCAAGAUGAUGACUGAGAUAAAAGUUGGCUCAAAGAUAGAGAAGGGAAAGGAGGGCGAAAAUGGAGUUAGAGAUUUGGAUAUAAUGCAACAUUGGAAUGAGUAUAUAGGAGAAAAAAAAAUAUGUUAAAAAUAAUAGAAAGGAGAAAGAAUAAUUUUAGUGGGAGGGAAAUUAGAUAGAAUGUAAAUCUUCCUAUCCGUUUUCAUAGAUAUUUAAAUAUUUUCACCAAGUUUACAACAAAAUUUUCAAUUAGUAACUAUUUUCUUAAAUUUACAUAAAAAGUUUUACCAAAAAGUUUUUCAUUGGUAAUUAUUUUAUCAUCUAUUGAAAAAAUUUAAUUCAUUUUUUGUUUAUAUUUAUUAUUUAUCGACGGAUUAGCAACGGAAUUAUACCAAUGGAAAACUUCCGUUAGUAACUCUGUCUGUAAUUUAAUAUAUAAUUUUCAUUGAUAAUUAUUUUAUUCUUUUUAUCAUCCAAAUUUGUUGGUAAAUUAUUUAAUUUAUUUUUCAUUUGUUUUUAAUUAUUUACCAACAGAUUAACAUCGAAAUUGUAACAAUGGAAGACUUCCGUUGGGAACCCCAUCGAUAAUUUAAUAUUUACUUUUUAAAAAUAAUAAAAUAAUAAUUCGUUGCUAAUUUGUUAUUAAUUCAUUGGUAUUAGCAACAAAAGACUUCCAUCGCCAAAUUUCCAUCUCUGUUGCCUCCCUUUCUAGUAGUACUCAAAAUUCAGGCACGAUUUCAUCACCAGGUCUGAGAAUUGAUAUUGUUCAAGUUUUGUUGCAUAUAGCCUUACAAAAUUAGUUAAGUAUGUAAUGUAUUAUUGCAAUAAGACUACUUGUACACCCAAAUGUGUACAAUUUGGUUGACACUUUCUAUGUGUUAAAAAUCUAACCAUUGAUUGAAUAAAGUAUUUUUAAAAUCAAUAUAUUCAAAUUUGCCAACACACAGGAGUGUAA